UGACAGAAAGAUGAUACUGAAGUCUUAUUAUAUGCAAACAUGUGACAUUCAUUAAUGAUAAUGCACAACAACGGUGCUGUUAUUGCACCUCUAAGCAGGAAAAUUAUAUCCUUCAGUGAGAUUGAGCAUGAGAACACUUUCGCCUGAUAACCAACAAAGUGCUAUGACUAUCACUUUGAUUGAUAGUUCAUACAAUAACAUAAUUAAGCAAAUAACCGAAAAUGACUA
Molecule: long non-coding RNA, 228 nt
Filed under: Daucus carota (carrot)
Lineage: Eukaryota; Viridiplantae; Streptophyta; Magnoliopsida; Apiales; Apiaceae
Description: long non-coding RNA (DCAR_LNC000903)
Source: RNAcentral